AAAGCUUCACUCUAAUCUUGGUGCACCUUC
RNAcentral lists this non-coding RNA (30 nucleotides) under Rattus norvegicus (Norway rat). The record is from RNAcentral. Lineage: Eukaryota; Metazoa; Chordata; Mammalia; Rodentia; Muridae.